AGGUCCCGGCAGGCUCCAAGUGGUGCCUGCCCCCCCAUUACCAUCCAUGUGGACCUCGAAUCAGGUAAGGAUACCCGCUGAACUUAAGCAUAUCA
RNAcentral lists this ribosomal RNA (95 nucleotides) under Coccocarpia palmicola. Its description in RNAcentral is "partial 28S ribosomal RNA". The record is from RNAcentral. Lineage: Eukaryota; Fungi; Ascomycota; Lecanoromycetes; Peltigerales; Coccocarpiaceae.